CACACAGUAAACGAUGAAUGCUAGGUGUUGGGGGGCAAAGCCCUUCGGUGCCGCCGCAAACGCAGUAAGCAUUCCACCUGGGGAGUACGUUCGCAAGAAUGAAACUCAAAGGAAUUGACG
Molecule: ribosomal RNA, 120 nt
Filed under: uncultured bacterium
Lineage: Bacteria
Description: partial 16S ribosomal RNA
Rfam family: Bacterial small subunit ribosomal RNA
Source: RNAcentral